Molecule: long non-coding RNA, 456 nt
Filed under: Homo sapiens (human)
Lineage: Eukaryota; Metazoa; Chordata; Mammalia; Primates; Hominidae
Description: HSALNT0095830
Source: RNAcentral
GUAAGUUCUCAGUACUAUGAUGAUUCCUUUGUCCUCAGCUCCUCUGGCUCCAACACUUAGGGUAAGUAAGUAGCUAGUUACAGGGAACAGAGCCCUGUGUUUAAUGUGAACUUGGCUCUGUACUACUUUGCUUUGUCAAAUCUAUUAGAAAUAUAGCCAAUGAAUUCUUCACUCUAGUUCUAAAUUUUGGAGCACUUUUUAAUCUAAUUGGCAUAGAGUUCUUGAUCUACCUCUUAUUAGCUGGACAACCUUUUAAAAUACUCUCUAAGACGCCAUUUACUCAUCUGUAUAAAAAAAGUUUAAUGCAGGAAUCAGAAAUCACCAUAGGAAUUUUGAGGCACAAAGGGAGUUAAUACUGGAAUUAAGUACUUUAAAAAUUAUUGGAAGGGCUGAAGGCAGGACUCUAGAUUGAGUAUGUAGAAAUGACUCCUGAAACAUCGCAGAUAAUCAUGUGAC